This 2347-nucleotide long non-coding RNA is filed under the name Homo sapiens (human). RNAcentral describes it as "HSALNT0061010". The record is from RNAcentral. Lineage: Eukaryota; Metazoa; Chordata; Mammalia; Primates; Hominidae.
ACAAAAUCGGGCUGCCUGAGCUAGCAGUAGCAACCGGUUGGGGUGCCCUUCUGCAUUGUGAAGGCUUUGUUCUUUGGCUCUUUGCGAUAAAUCUUGCUGCUGCUCACUUUUUGGGUCCACGCUGCCUUUAUGAGCUGUAACACUCUCUGUGAAGGUCUGUAGCUUCACUCCUGAAGCCAGAGAGACCACGGGAAGGAACGAACAACUCCAGACGCCCCGCCUUAAAAGCUGUAACACUCACCGCGAAGGUCUGCAGCUUCACUCCUGAGCCAGUGAGACCACGAACCUACCAGAAGGAAGAAACUCCAAACACAUCUGAACAUCAGAAGGAACAAACUCCGGACACGCCGCCUUUAAGAACUCUAACACUCACCGCUAGGAUCCGCGGCUUCAUUCUUGAAGUCAGAUGAAGAGAUUGAAAAGUUAAGGAACAUGCACCAGGCAAGCAGCAAAGACUGCCCUUUUCCAUGAUUUUAUCCACUUCUUCCACUCCGCCUGAAACCUGUCUGCCUGAGCCCUGCCGAGACCCAGGCCCAGUUUUCUGUCUCGGAUUACUUCAGAGUUUGGCUUGGGCCUUUUCUUCAGGAAUCAUGCUGUGACUCGCUUAGGAUGGUGAUAGGAGUAAAACGAAAGGCACUGUCAGAACAGAGAAAUGGAGAGAUUUAUUUAGGAGAAGAAAUCUCAGUCUCUGUAUCAUCUGCUGGGUGAAGCAACUUUCCAUCUGAGAGAAAGGAGUGCCCACACCCUGUCUACCCACGUCCAGGCCAGCUUAAAAGUCUAACAGGACUUAUGUGCGCAAAACCCUUUCCUGAAUAAUUGUGACAAAGUAAUCUUUUGAAAAAGAGAGAGUUGAAAAAAGAAUCUUCAAAAGGGGACAGUGAUCAUGAAGGCGCUGGAAGGAGAAGGAGACUCUAUGUCAGUCAGGAAAUCUGCAGGCUAGUGGUUCUCAAUGAGAAGAGAUUUUGCCUCCCAGGGACAUUUGGCAACGUCUGAAGGUAUUUUUGUUCGUUCGUUUCAACUGGAGCAGUGCUCCUGCCAGCUAGUGGAAACCCACGGAUGCCAGUAAACAUCCUACCACACACAGAUGAUAAAACUGAGGCUGCAAGAAUUUAAGUGACUUGCCCAAGGACACAUCAAGACUUGAACUCAGGAAAGUCUGGCCACAAAGGCUGGCGGCUCCCUGUCCACCUGGCUGAAGGGAACAUCCCCUGUUCUAGUGUUUGGGCCUGUCCUCUCAUUCCCCAGAGGAGCCCCCUUUCCCAGAAAGGAAGAAAGCCUGAGAUUUUCCUUCCUUAGACUUGUCGUCAUCACGCACCGCCCUGCUUCCAUCUUCCCUUCAAAAAGAAAAAGAAACCAAUCUGUCAGUUUCUGGGACUUGUAGUUGACAGACAUGCCGUUUUAUUCAAUUCAUGACCUUGUCUGGAUAUUUCCUUCUCUUUUAUGAACUCCCAGGGAGCACAUGGGAAUAAGCACAAGAUGUGGGAUCAAGAAGCCUGGGUUCAAGUCGUGGCUCCUUAGCUCAUAGACGCAUGAUUACAAGCAAACCUCAAUUUCCUCCUUGGGCUAUUGGGAGAACCAAGUGAAAUGAUGCAUGUGAAAUGCUUUGUGAGCUGAAGAGCCCUAUGUAUCUAUUCCACAACACCAACCCAUUCUCCCUAGUCAGUCAGAAUUGAGUCCAGAAUAACUGUCCCCCAUGUUGCCUCCUCCACAUUAGGGGAGAUGAAGCUGUCGACAGGGAAGUGGGGAAUCCAUCAGAGGUCUGCUGUGAGCAGAACCACCUGCCUGCCCUGUCAGGGCUGGAGUCAGAGCCAGGCAAGAUGGCUCGCGUUUAUAUAGGGCUUUGCAGUUUACAAAGCACAUCGACAUCUAUUACCUGGUUUGCUUCACACCACUCUACGAGGCAGGCAGAGUGGACAGCAUUAUCCCUGCUGGUCAAAAAAGAAAGCUAAGUCUUCAGAGAGGUAAGUUGUCCAAAGUCUCAUAGUUACCAUUGGAGAGCCGGGCUCAAACCCUGGUCUUGCCUUGGUGGGUGACUGCUGCCUCUAGUUCUGGAAGGGCAGGUCUGUGGUCCACAGCACAGCUACCUCACUCUGCUCAACACAUGGACUAGACUGGAGAGCAUAAUGAGAAACUGUAUAAAUCAUGCAUAAAUGUGUCGUUUUUUAUAAAUUGUGUAUAUAGUUAUGUAUAUAAAUUAAACAUAAAUUAACUUCAAUUAGGCAGUUUUGUCUUCAUUUCAAAUUGGGAACAUCUCAAACAUUCUGGAAGGUUCUUGAAAACCCUAUCAGCCCUAAGCACAGUGUCAAUAGAGCCUAAAGGUUAAAACCACCUGCUCCCCCAUCCCCAU